RNAcentral lists this ribosomal RNA (500 nucleotides) under uncultured bacterium. RNAcentral describes it as "partial 16S ribosomal RNA". It matches the Rfam family "Bacterial small subunit ribosomal RNA", at positions 30 to 523 of the family's 1533-position model. The record is from RNAcentral.
AUUGAACGCUGGCGGAAUGCUUUACACAUGCAAGUCGAACGAUGAACCUUAGCUUGCUAAGGGGAUUAGUGGCGAACGGGUGAGUAAUAUAUCGGAACGUACCUUGUAAUGGGGGAUAACUAGUCGAAAGAUUAGCUAAUACCGCAUACGCCCUGAGGGGGAAAGUAGGGGAUCUUCGGACCUUACGUUAUAAGAGCGGCCGAUAUCUGAUUAGCUUGUUGGUGGGGUAAUGGCCUACCAAGGCGACGAUCAGUAGCUGGUUUGAGAGGACGACAAGCCACACUGGAACGGAGACACGGUCCAGACUCCUACGGGAGGCAGCAGUGGGGAAUUUUGGACAAUGGGCGCAAGCCUGAUCCAGCCAUUCCGCGUGAGUGAAGAAGGCCUUCGGGUUGUAAAGCUCUUUCGCAAGGGAAGAAAACUUACAUUCUAAUAAAGUGUGAGGCUGACGGUACCUUGAUAAGAAGCACCGGCUAACUACGUGCCAGCAGCCGCGGUAA